UACGUAGGUGGCAAGCGUUGUCCGGAUUUAUUGGGUUUAAAGGGUGCGUAGGCGGCUUAUUAAGUCAGUGGUGAAACACUCUAGCUCAACUAGAGGGGUGCCAUUGAUACUGAUGAGCUUGAGUACAGAUGAGGUAGGCGGAAUUGACGGUGUAGCGGUGAAAUGCUUAGAUAUCGUCAAGAACACCUAUAGCGAAGGCAGCUUACUAGGCUGUAACUGACGCUGAGGCACGAAAGUGUGGGGAUCAAACAGG
Molecule: ribosomal RNA, 253 nt
Filed under: uncultured bacterium
Lineage: Bacteria
Description: partial 16S ribosomal RNA
Rfam family: Bacterial small subunit ribosomal RNA
Source: RNAcentral